UGGAGAAGAAGAAGAAGAAAC
RNAcentral lists this small RNA (21 nucleotides) under Arabidopsis thaliana (thale cress). Its description in RNAcentral is "ATSL147960". Lineage: Eukaryota; Viridiplantae; Streptophyta; Magnoliopsida; Brassicales; Brassicaceae. The record is from RNAcentral.